GACGAACGCUGGCGGCGUGCUUAACACAUGCAAGUCGAACGGAAAGGCCUCUUUCGGGGGGUACUCGAGUGGCGAACGGGUGAGUAACACGUGAGUAACCUGCCCUUUACUUUGGGAUAACUUCAGGAAACUGUGGCUAAUACCGGAUAUGAGCUCCUGCUGCAUGGUGGGGGUUGGAAAGUUUCGGCGGUUGGGGAUGGACUCGCGGCUUAUCAGCUUGUUGGUGGGGUAGUGGCUUACCAAGGCUUUGACGGGUAGCCGGCCUGAGAGGGUGACCGGCCACAUUGGGACUGAGAUUCGGCCCAGACUCCUACGGGAGGCAGCAGUGGGGAAUAUUGCACAAUGGGUGGAAGCCUGAUGCAGCAACGCCGUGUGCGGGAUGACGGCCUUCGGGUUGUAAACCGCUUUCGCUCAUGACGAAGCUUUGUGUGACGGUAGUGGGUAAAGAAGCACCGGCUAACUACGUG
This 467-nucleotide ribosomal RNA is filed under the name uncultured bacterium. RNAcentral describes it as "partial 16S ribosomal RNA". It matches the Rfam family "Bacterial small subunit ribosomal RNA", at positions 28 to 507 of the family's 1533-position model. The record is from RNAcentral.